AUAGUACUCCCUCUGUCCCAAAAUAAGUGACUCAAAUUUGUAUUAACUUUGUAUAUUAACUUUAAUACAAAGUUAAUAUAAAUUUAAGUCAUUUAUUUUGGGACGGAGGGGGUAUAUA
Molecule: microRNA precursor, 118 nt
Filed under: Hordeum vulgare
Lineage: Eukaryota; Viridiplantae; Streptophyta; Magnoliopsida; Poales; Poaceae
Description: microRNA MIR1122
Rfam family: MIR1120/MIR1122 microRNA precursor family
Source: RNAcentral